This 423-nucleotide ribosomal RNA is filed under the name uncultured bacterium. Its description in RNAcentral is "bacterial SSU rRNA". It matches the Rfam family "Bacterial small subunit ribosomal RNA", at positions 361 to 775 of the family's 1533-position model. The record is from RNAcentral.
AUCUUCCGCAAUGGACGAAAGUCUGACGGAGCAACGCCGCGUGAGUGAUGAAGUCUUUCGGGUCGUAAAACUCUGUUGUUAGGGAAGAACAAGUGCUAGUUGAAUAAGCUGUCACCUUGACGGUACCUAACAAGAAAGCCACGUCUAACUACGUGCCAGCAGCCGCGGUAAUACGUAGGUGGCAAGCGUUAUCCGGAAUUAUUGGGCGUAAAGCGAGCGCAGGUGGUUUCUUAAGUCUGAUGUGAAAGGCCACGGCUCAACCGUGGAGGGUCAUUGGAAACUGGGAGACUUGAGUGCAGAAGAGGAAAGUGGAAUUCCAUGUGUAGCGGUGAAACGCGUAGAGAUAUGGAGGAACACCAGUGGCGAAGGCGACUUUCUGGUCUGUAACUGACACUGAGGCGCGAAAGCGUGGGGAGCAAAUAG